This 497-nucleotide ribosomal RNA is filed under the name uncultured bacterium. RNAcentral's name for it is "partial 16S ribosomal RNA". It matches the Rfam family "Bacterial small subunit ribosomal RNA", at positions 28 to 507 of the family's 1533-position model. The record is from RNAcentral.
GAUGAACGCUGGCGGCGUGCCUAAUACAUGCGAGUCGAGCGAACGGACGAGAAGCUUGCUUCUCUGAUGUUAGCGGCGGACGGGUUAGUAACACGUGGAUAACCUACCUAUAAGACUGGGAUAACUUCGGGAAACCGUAGCUAAUACCGGAUAAUAUUUUGAACCGCAUGGUUCAAAAGUGAAAGACGGUUUUGCUGUCACUUAUAGAUGGAUCCGCGCUGCAUUAGCUAGUUGGUAAGGUAACGGCUUACCAAGGCAACGAUGCAUAGCCGACCUGAGAGGGUGAUCGGCCACACUGGAACUGAGACACGGUCCAGACUCCUACGGGAGGCAGCAGUAGGGAAUCUUCCGCAAUGGGCGAAAGCCUGACGGAGCAACGCCGCGUGAGUGAUGAAGGUCUUCGGAUCGUAAAACUCUGUUAUUAGGGAAGAACAAAUGUGUAAGUAACUGUGCACAUCUUGACGGUACCUAAUCAGAAAGCCACGGCUAACUACGUG